Molecule: ribosomal RNA, 67 nt
Filed under: Torreya grandis
Lineage: Eukaryota; Viridiplantae; Streptophyta; Pinopsida; Cupressales; Taxaceae
Description: partial 18S ribosomal RNA
Rfam family: Eukaryotic small subunit ribosomal RNA
Source: RNAcentral
CCUUAUCAUUUAGAGGAAGGAGAAGUCAUGACAAGGUUACCAUAGGUGAACUUAUGGUAGGAUCAUU